Molecule: ribosomal RNA, 213 nt
Filed under: uncultured Actinomycetales bacterium
Lineage: Bacteria; Bacillati; Actinomycetota; Actinomycetes; Actinomycetales
Description: partial 16S ribosomal RNA
Rfam family: Bacterial small subunit ribosomal RNA
Source: RNAcentral
GGGUGAUCUGCCCUGCACUUCGGGAUAAGCCUGGGAAACUAGGGUCUAAUACCGGAUAGGAGCCAUCUUUAGUGUGGUGGUUGGAAAGUUUUUCGGUUGUAGGAUGAGCUCGCGGCCUAUCAGCUUGUUGGUGGGGUAAUGGCCUACCAAGGCGGCGACGGGUAGCCGGCCUGAGAGGGUGUACGGCCACAUUGGGACUGAGAUACGGCCCAG